This 239-nucleotide long non-coding RNA is filed under the name Elaeis guineensis (African oil palm). Its description in RNAcentral is "long non-coding RNA (EGUI_LNC013409)". Lineage: Eukaryota; Viridiplantae; Streptophyta; Magnoliopsida; Arecales; Arecaceae. The record is from RNAcentral.
GGAUGGCUUAGAUUCUUGUCAAACGAAGUAGAUAAAUUAGUCCACAUAGAUCAUAAGUUAACCCAUGUGUGAUCUAGAGAGAGAGAGGGGAUAAAAAGGCAGGAGGAGGAGCAAUGUUUGUUACAUUUACAGGGAAAUUUUCAUAAAUUGACAUACUGUUUUUUAUUCUGCACAGCAGAACCAUAUCUGAUACGAUAUUAAUUUACGAGAAUAUAUUCAACUUCUGGAUUUGAGAAGGU